This 555-nucleotide ribosomal RNA is filed under the name uncultured bacterium. Its description in RNAcentral is "partial 16S ribosomal RNA". It matches the Rfam family "Bacterial small subunit ribosomal RNA", at positions 355 to 898 of the family's 1533-position model. The record is from RNAcentral.
UAGGGAAUCUUCCACAAUGGACGCAAGUCUGAUGGAGCAACGCUUCGUGAGUGAAGAAGGUUUUCGGACCGUAAAGCUCUGUUGUUGGUGAAGAAGGAUAGAGGUAGUAACUGGCCUUUAUUUGACGGUAAUCAACCAGAAAGUCACGGCUAACUACGUGCCAGCAGCCGCGGUAAUACGUAGGUGGCAAGCGUUGUCCGGAUUUAUUGGGCGUAAAGCGAGCGCAGGCGGAAGAAUAAGUCUGAUGUGAAAGCCCUCGGCUUAACCGAGGAAUUGCAUCGGAAACUGUUUUUCUUGAGUGCAGAAGAGGAGAGUAGAACUCCAUGUGUAGCGGUGGAAUGCGUAGAUAUAUGGAAGAAUACCAGUGGCGAAGGCGGCUCUCUGGUCUGCAACUGACGCUGAGGCUCGAAAAGCAUGGGUAGCGAACAGGAUUAGAUACCCUGGUAGUCCAUGCCGUAAAACGAUGAGUGCUAAGUGUUGGGAGGCUUCCGCCUCUCAGUGCUGCAGCUAACGCAUUAAGCACUCCGCCUGGGGGAGUACGACCGCAAGGUUGAA